UUUACAGAUUGGCUUGUCCUAUUUUCACCACAUCUUGCUUUAGAAAUAUAACUGUGCAGUGCCCCAUCUUCUAUCAGCCCAUCAGGAAUGAACAUUUAUAAGCAAAUGUAUAAAUGUGUAUGCAAUGCAAAAAUCUUUCCUAUCCUUUUGCUUUCUUUGACAUUUUCCCCUACCGAUAAUUAUCUAUUUCAGGAAGAAUCCCAACUUGCCAAGAUUACUCGUGAUAGUGCAAAGAUAAACGUUGAGCAGAUUCAUGGUUUGAUGUCACAAGUUAUAAAUGAUAUACUUUUCAACACAGUUCGGUCUGUCUAACAAAUCUUCAUCAGAUUCAUCUGGUCCAGAUCUGAUGGUUGAAACCUAGUCUCAUGGUUGACAAGUUAUGCUACCUGGACUUGAUCCUCUUAGAAUUUCUUGGAAGUUCUUGCAUUUCCAAAUACUGAUAUCUGCAACGACUUGACUAGUCAAAUGUGGGCUCUAGAAAACGAGAGAGUUUAUGCUUAUGUUCAAUCUUUUGCACUUUGAGAUUAAUGACAGUAAUUUGUUUGUCA
This is a long non-coding RNA of Olea europaea var. sylvestris, 548 nucleotides long. RefSeq lists it as uncharacterized. The record is from RefSeq and is a predicted model, not a curated record. Lineage: Eukaryota; Viridiplantae; Streptophyta; Magnoliopsida; Lamiales; Oleaceae. The transcript has 2 exons.